Molecule: ribosomal RNA, 253 nt
Filed under: uncultured bacterium
Lineage: Bacteria
Description: partial 16S ribosomal RNA
Rfam family: Bacterial small subunit ribosomal RNA
Source: RNAcentral
GACAGAGGAUGCAAGCGUUAUCCGGAAUGAUUGGGCGUAAAGCGUCUGUAGGUGGCUUUUUAAGUCCGCCGUCAAAUCCCAGGGCUCAACCCUGGACAGGCGGUGGAAACUACCAAGCUGGAGUACGGUAGGGGCAGAGGGAAUUUCCGGUGGAGCGGUGAAAUGCGUAGAGAUGCGGAGGAACACCGAUGGCGAAGGCAGCCCCCUGGGCUGACACUGACGCUCAGGCACGAAAGCGUGGGGAGCAAACAGG